Long non-coding RNA from Pyrus x bretschneideri (Chinese white pear), 1307 nucleotides. RefSeq lists it as uncharacterized. The transcript is spliced from 2 exons. The record is from RefSeq and is a predicted model, not a curated record. Lineage: Eukaryota; Viridiplantae; Streptophyta; Magnoliopsida; Rosales; Rosaceae.
GUCCCUUUUUUUUUUUUUUUUUUUUUUUUUAAUUUGAGGUUUUUUUAAUUAACCAGGUCCUUCGCAGGGGAAAAACCUUCAAUUUUUUUCUUAAAUUUUUAGUUUUUGUUAAAUUUCUUGGCAAGCUGUAGUUUUUCUUUGGUGCAUUUGUCAGCCGCCCUCGACAAUGAACGACCUGCUAAAGGUAAUGUAUUUGAUUUUCUUUCAUUAAUUUAUGCCAUGAUUGGUUUGUUUGGGCAUGUUUGGAGGUUUUACUGCUCUGUUUUUGUUAUGAUCCGGCCGCGUUUGAUGUUAUUGGAUCUGCUUUUUUAAUGAUUUUUUUUUUUAUUUUUUUUAUUUUGGUUUAAGGGGUUUUGGUUUUCUUAGGGUUUAGAUUGUUCUGUGUUUUAUUUCAGUUUCGUUUUUAUGAUUUUCUAUUUUUUGUAAGAAUAUCUUAUUUAAUAUUGUGAGAGUUGUGUUUUUAUGGUAUGAAAAUUGAAUCGUUGUGAUCUUAUAAGUGGUGUAACAUCAUUGCAACAUGUACGACUACAAUUAUCAAACAUGAAAUGGUUUUUGAUGGCCUUUCAUGUCCGUCCUUGCUUUGAGUUUAUCAGGGCUUAGCUAGGUGAGAGGUUUAAAGCUUGACCAUGGUAUACUUAUGGGUCUUCUCAGCUUUUCCCUCUUGCCUUUGUGCUUGGGAGCUGCUGCCUCUCUAUUUUUUGCUCAUUUUUUCAUGUUUUGUUUACGGCGGUCUCUAGGUGUACGGAACUCAUCCUUCAAUUUCAUUUAGAUUAUCUGAAGCAAGGCUCCAACCAAAGUUCAUAAACACAGUUAUCCAUUUUGUGAAAGAAAAAAAAAACCUAUUUCAAGUGACUUCUUGUGUUUGGUAUCUACAGAAACAUGAAUAGUAUCUGUUUGGAUAUGCCUGUUGCUGGAUAGCUUCUGCUAGCUGAAUGUAAUUUCUGUUUUGGCAUUGAUCAGACUUGAUUGCUUUCGGGUUUUGACUACUUUUGAAAAAAUGGGAAAUCAGGCCACAUUCUCAGCUCCAGACAUAUGGUCCUACGCUACCUGUUUGUGAUCAUCUUUGUGUAUGUGCAAUGCAGAUUAUUAUCAAGAUUGUAAAAAGAAACAAACAACAUAUGCAUGAAGAUUUUAUAAGGUACAAAGAACCAAUCAUGUUACCUUAUGUCUUUCCUGAAAUGCCUGUUUAAAUUUGUUCGUUUUGAAAAUGAGUCAACCAAACCAUUUUCUGUAUCUUCCCCAGCAGGAACCAUUGUCCUUGACAAAAUGCAGUAGUAUUGAAGCUAAAUAUGAUAAGGUUACAUUCA